ACCUACCUCGGAUCAGACGAGACUAUAU
Molecule: ribosomal RNA, 28 nt
Filed under: Mactra antiquata
Lineage: Eukaryota; Metazoa; Mollusca; Bivalvia; Venerida; Mactridae
Description: partial 28S ribosomal RNA
Source: RNAcentral